Molecule: ribosomal RNA, 440 nt
Filed under: uncultured bacterium
Lineage: Bacteria
Description: partial 16S ribosomal RNA
Rfam family: Bacterial small subunit ribosomal RNA
Source: RNAcentral
CCUACGGGAGGCAGCAGUAGGGAAUAUUGCUCAAUGGGGGAAACCCUGAAGCAGCAACGCCGCGUGGAGGAUGACGGUUUUCGGAUUGUAAACUCCUUUUGUUAGAGAAGAUAAUGACGGUAUCUAACGAAUAAGCACCGGCUAACGCCGUGCCAGCAGCCGCGGUAAUACGGAGGGUGCACGCGGUACUCGGAAUCACUGGGCGUAAAGAGCGCGUCGGCGGGAUAGCAAGUCAGAUGUGAAAUCCUAUGGCUUAACCAUAGAACUGCAUUUGAAACUGUUAUUCUAGAGUAUGGGAGAGGUAGGUGGAAUGCUUGGUGUAGGGGUAAAAUGCGUAGAGAUCAAGAGGAAUACUCAUUGCGAAGGCGACCUGCUAGAACAUAACUGACGCUGAUGCGCGAAAGCGUGGGGAGCAAACAGGAUUAGAUACCCUUGUAGUC